RNAcentral lists this ribosomal RNA (492 nucleotides) under uncultured bacterium. RNAcentral describes it as "partial 16S ribosomal RNA". It matches the Rfam family "Bacterial small subunit ribosomal RNA", at positions 29 to 507 of the family's 1533-position model. The record is from RNAcentral.
AGUGAACGCUGGCGGCAGGCCUAACACAUGCAAGUCGAACGGCAGCACAGUAAGAGCUUGCUCUUACGGGUGGCGAGUGGCGGACGGGUGAGGAAUACAUCGGCAUCUUCUUUUUCUUGGGGGAUAACGUAGGGAAACUUACGCUAAUACCGCAUACUUCCUACGGGUUAAAGCAGGAGAGCUUCGGACCUUUCGCGUUUGAAUGAGCUGAUGUCGGAUUAGCUAGUUGGCAGGGUAAAGGCCCACCAAGGCAACGAUCCGUAGCUGAUCUGAGAGGAUGAUCGGCCACACUGGAACUGAGACACGGUCCAGACUCCUACGGGAGGCAGCAGUGGGGAAUAUUGGGCAAUGGGCGCAAGCCUGAUCCAGCCAUACCGCGUGGGUGAAGAAGGCCUUCGGGUUGUAAAGCCCUUUUGUUGGGAAAGAAAAGCAGCAGAUUAAUACGCCGCUGUUCUGACGGUACCCAAAGAAUAAGCACCGGCUAACUUCGUG